This 343-nucleotide unclassified non-coding RNA is filed under the name soil metagenome. RNAcentral's name for it is "partial contains 5.8S ribosomal RNA, internal transcribed spacer 2, and large subunit ribosomal RNA". The stretch from base 1 to 120 matches the Rfam family "5.8S ribosomal RNA", at positions 35 to 154 of the family's 154-position model. The record is from RNAcentral.
GAUGAAGAACGUAGUGAAAUGCGAUAAGUAAUGUGAAUUGCAGAAUUCAGUGAACCAUCGAAUCUUUGAACGCACAUUGCGCCCGCUAGUAUUCUGGCGGGCAUGCCUGUCCGAGCGUCAUUUCAACCCUCAAGCCCCCGGGCUUGGUGUUGGGGAUCGGCGAGCCUCCGCGCCCGCCGUCCCCUAAAUCUAGUGGCGGUCUCGCUGUAGCUUCCUCUGCGUAGUAGCACACCUCGCACUGGGAAACAGCGCGGCCACGCCGUUAAACCCCCAACUUCUGAACGUUUGACCUCGGAUCAGGUAGGAAUACCCGCUGAACUUAAGCAUAUCAAUAAGCGGAGGA